AACGCGAAGAACCUUACCUAGGCUUGACAUGCUGGAGAAAGCUUGCGGAAACGUGAGCCCCUCUUCAGAGUUCCAGCACAGAUGCUGCAUGGCUGUCGUCAGCUCGUGUCGUGAGAUGUUGGGUUAAGUCCCGCAACGAGCGCAACCCUCACUCUUAGUUACCAGCGGGUAAAGCCGGGGACUCUAGGGGGACUGCCGGUGCCAAACCGGAGGAAGGUGGGGAUGACGUCAAGUCAUCAUAGCUCUUACGUCUAGGGCUACACACGUGCUACAAUGGGCCGGACAGAGGGUCGCCAACUCGCGAGAGUGAGCCAAUCCCCAAACCGGUCCUCAGUUCGGAUUGUAGUCUGCAACUCGACUACAUGAAGCUGGAAUCGCUAGUAAUCGUGGAUCAGCUACGCCACGGUGAAUACGUUCCCGGGUCUUGUACACACCG
RNAcentral lists this ribosomal RNA (436 nucleotides) under uncultured bacterium. RNAcentral describes it as "bacterial SSU rRNA". It matches the Rfam family "Bacterial small subunit ribosomal RNA", at positions 958 to 1392 of the family's 1533-position model. The record is from RNAcentral.